Nicotiana tabacum (common tobacco) is the source of this 768-nucleotide long non-coding RNA. RefSeq lists it as uncharacterized. The record is from RefSeq and is a predicted model, not a curated record. Lineage: Eukaryota; Viridiplantae; Streptophyta; Magnoliopsida; Solanales; Solanaceae.
CUUUAAAACACGCUUUUAUAUUUCCCAAAACUUAACGCUUCUUUUUUUUCUCAGGCCUCUCUUUCCUUCUCUCUCUCCAACUAUCAGUCGGCUACCCAAAUCCUUUCCCCCUGAAGACUUUGAACUGAUUCGGGGCGAUUUGAGGCCGAGUCGAGACGCAAGAGCAUCGCGGUGUAGAUUUUCGUCCGAUUUGAGAUUCAGGUAUUUUUGACCCCGGUAGCGGGUGUUGAUUACUUAGUGGCAGGUUCAUCGGAAUUAGCAAGUUAACUGCCUGGCGAUCACAGCCUUGCUUUCCUCCCUCCUUAUUCUCCCUUAGUUGUAUUCAGUGACUUUCCGCAUUGUUUUUCUAUUUUAAACACUUUGUAAAGGUUUAUUGUUAAAUAGCUUUGAUUUUAUCCUAAGAAUGAAAAUAUUGAUUGGUUUUGGAAUUGUGUCGGCUGGCCUAGUUCCAUGAUAGGCGCCAUCAUGACUGGGUUGGUUUUGAUGUCGUGACAUGGACGAACAGUACGAUGCCUGAACACUAAAGAAUUGAGCAUAAUUGGUAUACUUUCUUAGUGAUUGUUUCAGAUUUAUGGAACUCUCAAAUAGUUUAGGCAUAUCAGCUGCUUGUUAAUCUGUGGAAGUUCUUAACUUUUGUGACUUGCUAGACUGUUUUGUGAAUGUACUAGUGAAUUAUUUCCUUGACAAGGUAUGUUCCUCUUGCGUGCUUGGUGCAGUCUUAAAUGUUAGUCAAUUUGCAAUGAUCAUUAGAGUUUUAUAUUUCAGAUA